GCCGAAGUGGCGGAAUGGCAGACGCACUUGACUCAAAAUCAAGCGUCCUCUGGACGUGCCGGUUCGAGUCCGGCCUUCGGCACCA
This 85-nucleotide transfer RNA is filed under the name Bacillota bacterium. RNAcentral's name for it is "tRNA-Leu". It matches the Rfam family "tRNA". From Rfam's summary of the family: Transfer RNA (tRNA) molecules are approximately 80 nucleotides in length. Lineage: Bacteria; Bacillati; Bacillota. The record is from RNAcentral. RNAcentral also lists the same sequence under 1 other name.